AGGGCUCACAUGUGCGAGAGAUAUUUCUGCAUGCAGAAGUAAGCAACAAAUUGUGAUAAUUGAUUUCAAAUGAAUAAGACAAGAAAAUACAAACUGCAUAGCUCAGCAUUUAUUUGGUGCCAUCAAAAUAUAUUUCAAGGAACAGUAUUGUACACGACAUCACGAUGAGGAAGAACAUGAUCCACACCCUGAACCCUGCGUCCUUCCUCAUUGCCUCUCGGACCUGUCAGAGAAGACGCAUUUAGUUCUUGUCAUAAGCUGCGCCAAUGUAGUGAUCUACACAAAGACCUGGCGAAGGAGCAAUCUGGAGUCACCUGAACAUUAAGAUCAAGAUCAAGGACUAAUUACUCCUGCACACACAAGAAUACUGGGUGAACGAAUGAAGUCAUAGUAAAAUACGAAUGAGAUGGAGUUUGAAAAUCUGAAUGUUAUACCUUGGGUGAAGGGCAAGCAACUUGGAAUGCAUGAAUCACUACUAAUUGACUACAUGUUGGUAAUGGAAGAAUACAUGAAAAUGUUGACACCAGAGCUAAAUACAGACUAGGAGAUAUACAAACAGACUGGGUGAAGAGUGAGAGAGUUAGGUAAGGAUGUGUAUAUUAUUAUUACCAACCCUUUUCAGCCUCUAAACAGGAGUUAGCAGCUAGAUUGAGAAGAAUGAAUGCAGGAGUAACUGUGGUGAAUGACAAGAUAUGUGUACUUCUUCAUGCAGAUGAUGUAGUGGUCAUGAGUGACAACAGAUGAGCAGCAAAGUUUUUUGUUGGAUGUUUUGGAUGGAUAUGGAAGACACUUUGGAGUUUAGUUAGUAAUGAGAAGAAAAGUAAGGUAAUAAUGAUAAAUAGGUCAGAGGAUGAAAGUAAUGUAGUGUGGAGAAUUGGAGAAAAUGAGUUGAAAGCAGGCACAAGAAUAUAAAUGCUGGGAAUGUGGGUGAGUCUGAAUGGAUGUGAAAAGGCAAAGAAUGAAAAAGAUAAGCAAGCUUGUUGAACCAGUGGGUAGGGCAACUGGGAAGUGCAGCUAGAAUGAGAGCAACUAAACAUGAUGUACUGAGAGAAGUGUGUUAGUGUGUGGCUGUGCCCAGUAUAUUGCGUGGUAUGGAUAUUACAUGGAACAGAGGUGAAAUUAUCAAGUUACCAGUGGGGCACAACAGAGUAGCUACAAUGGCACUGAACACACCAAAGUCCACAGCAAUAGAAGCUUUGACAGGUGAUGUGGGAUGAAGCAUUUACAGAGAAAGACUAAUAAAAGCAACACUCUGGUACAAGAUUAGGUUGAAGAGAAUGGAUGAUGGAAAAAUAGCAACAAGGGUAUAUCUGUGGUAUGAAAGUGGAAGCAAAUGGAGGAAGAGGUGCAUGUGAAUGACAGGAGUGGAUUACAAUUUGUAUAUGGGGGAUGAGAAUGGCUAGGAAGAAUCAAAUCCCACUCUGCCUUCUCUUGUCUAUCCAUUUUGAUUUCCCCCCAGCUAUUCUCAUCCCCAUAUAUAACUUGUAAUCCACUCCAGUCAGUCAUUCUCAUGCAUCUCUUCUAUUUGCUUCUAUUUUCAUUCCACAGGUACAUCUUUCUCGCUCUUUUUUUCACCAUCCAUUCUCUCCAACCCAAUCCUGUACCAAGUGUUGCUUUUAUUAGUCUUUCCCUAAAAGUGCUCCAUCCCGCAUCACCUUUUCAAGCUUCUCUGCUGUGUACCUUGGUGUGUUUAGUGCCAUUGUAAACUAUUUUGCCUCUGCUAAUUUAUCAAUUUCACUUUAUUCCAUGCAAUCACAUCCAUACCACACAUUACACUGGGCAUGGCCACACUCUUCCACACUCCUCUUGAUAAAUUAUAUUUACUUGCUCUCAUUCUAGCUGCACUCCCCAUUUACCUACCCAUUGGUUCACCAAGCUUAUCUUUUAAUUUUUUUUGCAUUUUCACAUCCAGUAAGACUCAUCCACAUCCCCAAGUACUUAUAUUCUUGCACCUAUUUCAACUAUUUCUUUCUAAUUCUCGACACUACAUUACUUUUAUCCUCUAACCUAUUCUCUAUCAUUACCUUACUUUUCUCAUUACAAAUCAAACUCCAGUCUCUUCCAUAUCCAUCCAGAACAUCCAACAAACUUUGCUGCUCAUUUGUUGUCACUCAUGACCACUGCAUCAUUCUUCUCAAUCUGGUUGCUAACUCCUCUGUCUAGAGGCUGAAAAGAAUUGGUGACAAUAUGCAUCCUUGCCUAACUCCUCUCUCACUUUUCACCCAGUCCGUGUAUAUCUCCUGGUCUGUAUUUAGCUCUGGUGUCAAAAUUAUAAAUAUAAUUUACCUCCAUCCUUUCUUUUCCUCUCAAUCAUUUCAUUCACCACAAACACCCUCAACUUCUCAUUCAACACCGUACUAAACACUUUAUAUAUAGGCUGAUUACAUUAUUUACUACAGUAGGUAGUUCAACUCAUUCUUCUUACUCUUGUAUCCCUACAUUCAUUUUGCAUCCUUGGUUCUCUCCUAACCUAACCUAACCUAACCACACCUAAUUAAAUACCUCAGUCAUCCUGUCAAUCACAACCUUCCCACCAUUUUUAUACAUACCAUAUGGUAUCCUAUUUGGCCCUACAAGCUUCCCAUUCUCCUGACUUUAAACACAUCUCUGGACCACCACCUUGCUGAUUCUCAUUCACUUCAUCUGCAUUUUUCCCUCUCCAGUGUCAAACCUCCUUCUCUCACACCAAAAUCCUCACCUCCACCACCAACUUCUUCCCAGAACUGUCUGACUGCCUCCCUGAUUCCUUCUUUCCUCUGUUACAACUUCACCAUUCACUUUCAGACUCUCCAAACCAAUAUUUCCUGAGAUAUUCCCACCUCUCAUGAACUUGUACCAUUCAGGGCCACCUUCCAUGCCUUUCUCUCUCUUAAUUACUCAAACGCACUCCUUUCACACACUAGCCUAAACUAUCUUUUGCCUUGUAAGUUUGUUGUUUCACAUAUGCAGCCCAUGCAUUCUGGUACUCAUUCUCUGCCUCAUUGCUUUCAUUUUUUUUUUCCUUGACCAUCUGCACUGUUUACUCAUUCUCUUUCAUUCCUUCUUGGUCUCUCUUAUUUCAUGCUUCCACCAUGGUUUAUUUUACAUGCUCUCUUCUGCCACUCACAGAAAUCCUAUGUGAUUCUCAGCAGCACUCUGCACACUCUCAACCAGUCUCAUUCAGGUGCUCCACAUCAUACACACUUAAAUCAUCACCCCACCUCUCACUCAGAUCUUCUUGGAAGUUCUCCUUACCUACAUCGCUCAGUCUUCACCUCUUUUUACCUGCCACUCUCACUUCACUCCCAUCCUGCAUCAGGCACUCCAUAACCACCAUAUUGUGGUCAGACAUAAUAUCCACCAUACCAUCUUCAUUAACUAACUUUUAAGGCAAGGAAUUAAUUACAAAUUAUUCAAUUUUUAAGGCAGCUGUCCUCGUAUGCUUCUUGGUGAAUAAGAAUUCUACCAAUAACUAUGGACUAGUAGUUAUAAAAUAAUGUUAAAUUAGAGGCAUGGAUGCAUAAAAAAUACUGUUAAAUUGGCAUGGAUGCACUUUUUAAGUGUUCACAAGAGUAGACAACAAGCACAGCCAGAAGACCAAGAUGUAAUGUCUCGCAAAAAUAAAAUGAACAUCAUUUAAAUGAUAAAUAAGAAUUAUUUUAUUACUUUCCUUGCU
Molecule: long non-coding RNA, 3655 nt
Organism: Portunus trituberculatus (swimming crab)
Lineage: Eukaryota; Metazoa; Arthropoda; Malacostraca; Decapoda; Portunidae
Exons: 3
Source: RefSeq, a predicted model, not a curated record